AGGCUUAUAGUCUAAUGGAUAAGACAAGUACCUCCUAAGUAUUAACUACAGGUUCAAAUCCUGUUACGCUAA
Molecule: transfer RNA, 72 nt
Filed under: Ulva rigida
Lineage: Eukaryota; Viridiplantae; Chlorophyta; Ulvophyceae; Ulvales; Ulvaceae
Description: tRNA-Arg
Rfam family: tRNA
About the family: Transfer RNA (tRNA) molecules are approximately 80 nucleotides in length. Their secondary structure includes four short double-helical elements and three loops (D, anti-codon, and T loops).
Source: RNAcentral